This 252-nucleotide ribosomal RNA is filed under the name uncultured bacterium. Its description in RNAcentral is "partial 16S ribosomal RNA". It matches the Rfam family "Bacterial small subunit ribosomal RNA", at positions 524 to 776 of the family's 1533-position model. The record is from RNAcentral.
UACGGAGGAUGCAAGCGUUAUCCGGAAUGAUUGGGCGUAAAGCGUCCGCAGGUGGCGAUGUAAGUCUGCUGUUAAAGAGUCUAGCUCAACUAGAUAAGAGCAGUGGAAACUACAUAGCUAGAGUACGUUCGGGGCAGAGGGAAUUCCUGGUGUAGCGGUGAAAUGCGUAGAGAUCGGAAGAACAUCGGUGGCGAAGGCGCUCUGCUGGACCAUAACUGACACUCAGGGACGAAAGCUAGGGGAGCGAAUGGG